RNAcentral lists this unclassified non-coding RNA (196 nucleotides) under rhizosphere metagenome. Its description in RNAcentral is "partial ribosomal RNA internal transcribed spacer region". The record is from RNAcentral.
GUAGGUGAACCUGCGGAAGGAUCAUUACCUAGAGUUUGUGGGCUUUGCCCGCUACCUCUUACCCAUGUCUUUUGAGUACUUACGUUUCCUCGGCGGGUUCGCCCGCCGACUGGACAAAAUUAAACCCUUUGUAAUUGAAAUCAGCGUCUGAAAAACAUAAUAGUUACAACUUUCAACAACGGAUCUCUUGGUUCUG